Molecule: ribosomal RNA, 2029 nt
Filed under: Triticum aestivum (bread wheat)
Lineage: Eukaryota; Viridiplantae; Streptophyta; Magnoliopsida; Poales; Poaceae
Description: partial small subunit ribosomal RNA
Source: RNAcentral
GUGUCCGCUAGGAUAUUCCGAAACCCACGACCCCAGAGCUCGGGGAGGAAAUCCACGACUCGAGCGAGAAGAGCGAACGGCAGCGCCGUCGACCAAGAUCCAGCGCCCCCGACCGCCUCCGAGCUCCUCCGCCGGCGACAAGAAGUGACGCUCCCGAGCCCCUCCCUCCGGUGCUGAGGAUCCAAGCUCCGCCCCUCCAACGACGGCGACGGAUCGUGGCCGUCACCGUUCUCCUUCCCCGGAUCUCCCCUCCGCCUCCAAGCUCCGAUCCCCUCCGGCGACGGCGGCGGCAACGGUUCCGCGGACGUUACUAUCUCAUCUGAUCAAGGGCUUUUCAACUCACUAUAUGAGUUUGAUCUUGUUAUCUUUAAUCGGUCGUUGAGAAGAAAGCAAGAAAGGUAUGGGAAAGCUUAAAUUUAUUUGUUGGUAUGAAUUGAACAGCUAGCCAAGAAGAGAUGUGAUUGGUGAUGUUUAUGUUCUGAGUUCUGCUGCCGUUUACAUGAUAAAUAUUUUGCUGCUGGUUCUUAUUAGAUGAACCAAAGAGUAAAGGUAGAGAGAUGAUUUGUUUCCUUCCUAAGGUGUAUAGCUGUACCUCCAAGAUAGGCAAGAGCAAUUCAAUAGUUCAUUUUAGUUUUCUACCUAUAGUUCCAGGAAGGUGGAGCUGUAGCUGGAAGGUAUAUGAGACAUAUGUAGCUUACUUUUGUCUUGUUUGUUCACUUCUAGACAGAUGGAUAUAUGGCUGUUUAUAGCAAAGCAUGUGUAGAAAUUGUUGCAAAUGUGCAAAUAAAGGUGUAUAGUAGAAUCACAUAUCUUUUUGUUUGUUAUACAUCUAUUUCAAGCAGAUCAGCUGUUGAUUUCUUUUCAUUGGCUUUGGUUUCAUCAUGCCUUUGUUUACACUCAGGCACUCAACAGAUCAGCUGUGGUGUGACACCUAUUUAACGGUGUGUUUAAUGCUCUCACAAACCCAUGAUCAAAGAAUGACCAUAUAUUGAUAUGCAUAAGUUUAUAAGUUGUUUAUUGACCUAUAUGCAGUGUUGUGUCUUCAGUGCAGAUGAUCGUGCCGUGAUUUUGCCAUGUAAGGACCUAGAAAAUGGAAGUUCUUGGAGGGCAAACUCUGUUUUUUCUCUUUGUAGAUACCCAUUGAGACAAACAAUAUUAUUUUGUGUCUACUCUUUUAUUCACUUACUUCAAUAUGUCUUAGAUUAAUCGAAGCAAUCUUUUUUCUUGAAUAUGUUGAUACAAUUUUAUGUGCAUUUAUUUUGAAAAUGCAUAUUUUCCCAUGGCAUGAAGGUCUUAGAUAUAUCAGGGUGAGCACAACGAAAAGCAUUGCAAGUCUUUCAUUUGAUUUAAGCGUAGUUGGUAAUGUAUUACACCAAUCAAAAUAUAAUAAUGAACAACAUUGUGAUCUUACGUUGCUGCAAAGCGCAUGAUUACUUCAAGUGAAUAUUAAAUCUGAGUACUUUGUAGUGACUGCAAGUGGCAUUUUGGUUCUUAGGACAUUCUGAUUCUGAGUACUUUGUAGAGCUUCAAAGAAGCUUGAAGAAAUUAAUAUUCUUUUCGCAAGCAAUUUAGUCGAUUUUUUUAUGCACACUGCACAUAUCAUAUAUUGGUUCAUACUAUUUCAUCUUAAUUCAUUUAUACUUAAAAGUAGUCUAUUGAAACUGAACUGGUGCUAACUUAAUAUUUUGUGUAGUUCAGUCAACAUCAAGAUGCGGUACCUGAUGUCCAUGCAGAGUGGAGAAAUGACUUGAGUAGGGCUAGUGAUCGCCUCCUUGCAGUUCAUCUAAUUUGAAAGUAUCUCUGCCUUGGACAUGGCAAGUGAUAAUUCAAUUUUCUUUUGUCGUGAACAAAUUUGAAUGAUGAUAGCACAUGAAAACGAUUUAGGCCAACGAUUGAUCUCAAUGAGAUGUGGACUGACCAGUAUCUGAACCCUUGUGAACUGAUGGUUUUAUGUAUUUGUUUAUAUGAAAUUCUUAGAUUUUAUGUAUUUGUUUUUUUAGAUUAUUUGUGGAAUUCUUGUCUGUGGUCC